UACGUAGGCAGCGAGCGUUGUUCGGAGUUACUGGGCGUAAAGGGUGUGUAGGCGGUUGUUUAAGUUUGGUGUGAAAUCUCCCGGCUCAACUGGGAGGGUGCGCCGAAUACUGAAUGACUAGAGUGCGGGAGAGGAAAGUGGAAUUCCUGGUGUAGCGGUGAAAUGCGUAGAUAUCAGGAGGAACACCGGUGGUGUAGACGGCUUUCUGGACCGUAACUGACGCUGAGACACGAAAGCGUGGGUAGCAAACGGG
Molecule: ribosomal RNA, 253 nt
Filed under: uncultured bacterium
Lineage: Bacteria
Description: partial 16S ribosomal RNA
Rfam family: Bacterial small subunit ribosomal RNA
Source: RNAcentral